This 1493-nucleotide ribosomal RNA is filed under the name metagenome. RNAcentral describes it as "bacterial SSU rRNA". It matches the Rfam family "Bacterial small subunit ribosomal RNA". The record is from RNAcentral.
GAUCCUGGCUCAGAACGAACGUUGGCGGCGUGGUUGAGGCAUGCAAGUCGAGCGAGAAAGGGUUUCGGCCCGAGUAAAGCGGCGAAAGGGUGAGUAACGGAUAGUUAACGUACCUUGAUGAGGAGAAUAACCGAGGGAAACCUUGGCUAAUGCUCCAUAAGACCACGGGUCGCAAGACCUGGGGUAAAAGAUAGCGCAAGCUUUCUGCUUCCAGAGCGGACUAUCUACCAUCAGCUAGUUGGCGGGGUAAUGGCCCACCAAGGCUUCGACGGUUAUCCGGCCUGAGAGGGUGAACGGACACACUGGACUGAGACACUGCCCAGACACCUACGGGUGGCUGCAGUUCGGAAUAUUCCGCAAUGCAAGCAAUUGUGACGGAGCGACGCCGCGUGUGCGAUGAAGGCCCUUUGGGUCGUAAAGCACUGUCAGUGAUUACCAAAUUGGUAGGUGUUAACAGCGCCUGCCAUUGAGCAGUCACAGAGGAAGGAGCAGCUAACUACGUGCCAGCAGCUGCGGUAAUACGUAGGCUCCAAACGUUGUUCGGUGUUACUGGGCUUAAAGGGUCCGUAGGCGGUUCGACAAGUCAGGUGUGAAAUCCCGCGGCUUACCCGUGGAACGGCACUUGUUACUGUCAGACUCGAGGCACGCAGGGGUAACCGGAAUUCUGGGUGUAGCGGUGAGAUGCACAGAUAUCCAGGAGAAGGCCGACGGCGAAGGCAGGUUACUGGGCGUGUUCUGACGCUGAGGGACGAAAGCGUGGGGAGCAAACAGAAUUAGAUACUCUGGUAGUCCAUGCCCUAAACUAUGUAUACUAGAUAGGAGAGGUUCGAAUGCCAUUCCUGUCGACGAGAAACCAUUAAGUAUACCGCCUGGGGAGUAUGGUCGCAAGGCUGAAACUCAAAGGAAUUGACGGGGGCUCACACAAGCGGUGGUGCAUGUUGCUUAAUUCGAGCCAACGCGAAGAACCUUACCCGAGUUUGAAAUGCAGUGUUCAGUCUAUGAAAGUAGAUGGCUGUAGCAAUACAGCGAACUGCACAGGUGUUGCAUGGCUGUCGUCAGCUCGUGUUGUGAAAUGUCGGGUUAAGUCCCUUAACGAGCGAAACCCCUGUCCUUAGUUACCAGCACGUAAAGGUGGGAACUCUAAGGAGACUGCCGGUGAUGAACCGGAGGAAGGUGGGGAUGACGUCAAGUCUUCAUGGCCCUUACACUCGGGGCUGCAAACGUGCAACAAUGGACGGUACAAAGAGGACCAAGGCCGCGAGGCGGAGGAAAUCUCGAAAGCCGUCCCCAGUUCGGAUUGGAGGCUGCAACCCGCCUCCAUGAAGUCGGAAUCGCUAGUAAUCGCGGAUCAGCUACGCCGCGGUGAAUAUGUUCCUGAGCCUUGUACACACCGCCCGUCACCCCACGAAAGCUAGGGGCACCUGAAGACGUGUAUCCAACCUGGAAAGCGUCCAAGGUUAAUCUAGUGAUUGGGACGAAGUCGAAACAAGGUA